RNAcentral lists this ribosomal RNA (465 nucleotides) under Triticum aestivum (bread wheat). Its description in RNAcentral is "partial small subunit ribosomal RNA". Lineage: Eukaryota; Viridiplantae; Streptophyta; Magnoliopsida; Poales; Poaceae. The record is from RNAcentral.
AUGGCGCGCACUACAAAAGAUCUGAAGAUCUGGAGCUCCUCCCUUUUCAGCGAUGCCAAGAUACAGUUCCACAUAGCAACAGAAAUCAUCCUGCGCCUCGACAUAGCCCAGGAAUCCCGCAGCCUCUCCGCAGCGGAAUUCAACCUUCGACGACUGCUCAAGCUCAGACUGCUUGGCCUCGCCGCGAUCGAGCGAGCGCGCAAGCGUCAGGCCUCCCGACUGACUUGGCUCAAGCUAGGCGACGCGGGAACCAAAUUUUUCCAUGCAAAGUUUCGCUCACGCCGAAGUAAGAACUACAUCCACAGCCUACUGACGAACGACGGGGUCGCCACGUCACACGAAGAAAAGGAAACAGCCAUCUUCGAGCACUUCAACUCCAUCCUCGGCUCCAAAGAGACUCGAUCAACAACCAUCAACUGGAGCCAACUUCAACUGCCCACAAUCAGAGGAGGAGGCCUAGAUAAC